CUCUCUCUCUCUCUCUCUCUUGCUAGCUUUUUCCUUCAAUUUCUCCCUGCUUAUGUGUGUGCAUGCAUUCUUAUCCGUUAGGAAAGCAUUGGUUAUAUUAAAUAAAGAUGCAUGUAUUAUAGAUGGCUAAAUAGGGUAUAAAUGAUAGACUGCAUAUCAGCUGUGGUACUCAGCAUGUGUGGUUGCUGUAAUUGCAUAAAAGUCAAAUGAAGAAAUAAAUACUAGUUUAUAAUUUGCAAAAUUAUUCUAGUUUUUAUUGUUAACAUAUAUUAUGAAGGUGUAUUUUGCUGUAGCAAAUAGAUAUUUUGUUGUUUCAAACUCUAUAAUUCUUCAUUAAUUGGCAAUUGGCUUAUACUUUAAGGAGUUUCGCUUCUAAAGAACUCAAG
This 386-nucleotide unclassified non-coding RNA is filed under the name Hevea brasiliensis (rubber tree). The record is from RNAcentral. Lineage: Eukaryota; Viridiplantae; Streptophyta; Magnoliopsida; Malpighiales; Euphorbiaceae.